This 466-nucleotide ribosomal RNA is filed under the name uncultured bacterium. Its description in RNAcentral is "bacterial SSU rRNA". It matches the Rfam family "Bacterial small subunit ribosomal RNA", at positions 339 to 796 of the family's 1533-position model. The record is from RNAcentral.
GUACGGGAGGCAGCAGUGGGGAAUUUUGCGCAAUGGGGGAAACCCUGACGCAGCAACGCCGCGUGAGUGAUGAAGGCCUUCGGGUCGUAAAGCUCUGUCAGAGGGAAAGAAAUGUGCGAGGGUUAAUACCCCUUGUACUUGACGGUACCCUCAAAGGAAGCACCGGCUAACUCCGUGCCAGCAGCCGCGGUAAUACGGAGGGUGCGAGCGUUGUUCGGAUUUAUUGGGCGUAAAGCGCGUGUAGGCGGCUUCUUAAGUCUGAUGUGAAAGCCCUGGGCUCAACCCGGGAAGUGCAUUGGAAACUGGGAAACUUGAAUACGGGAGAGGGUAGUGGAAUUCCUGGUGUAGGAGUGAAAUCCGUAGAUAUCAGGAGGAACACCGGUGGCGAAGGCGGCUGCCUGGACCGAUAUUGACGCUGAGACGCGAAAGCGUGGGGAGCAAACAGGAUUAGAUACCCCAGUAGUCC